RNAcentral lists this ribosomal RNA (253 nucleotides) under uncultured bacterium. RNAcentral's name for it is "partial 16S ribosomal RNA". It matches the Rfam family "Bacterial small subunit ribosomal RNA", at positions 524 to 776 of the family's 1533-position model. The record is from RNAcentral.
UACGAGAGGUCCAAACGUUAUUCGGAAUCACUGGGCUUACAGAGUUCGUAGGCGGUUCUACAAGUGGGGGGUGAAAGCCCUCGGCUCAACCGAGGAACUGCGCUCCAAACUGUAGAACUAGAGGAAGAUAGAGGUGAGCGGAACUGAUGGUGGAGCGGUGAAAUGCGUUGAUAUCAUCAGGAACACCGGAGGCGAAGGCGGCUCACUGGGUCUUUUCUGACGCUGAGGAACGAAAGCUAGGGGAGCAAACGGG